GGAUAUGAGCCUCUAUCGCAUGGUGGGGGUUGGAAAGAUUUUUUGGUCUGGGAUGGGCUCGCGGCCUAUCAGCUUGUUGGUGAGGUAAUGGCUCACCAAGGCGUCGACGGGUAGCCGGCCUGAGAGGGUGACCGGCCACACUGGGACUGAGACACGGCCCAGACUCCUACGGGAGGCAGCAGUGGGGAAUAUUGCACAAUGGGCGAAAGCCUGAUGCAGCAACGCCGCGUGAGGGAUGACGGCCUUCGGGUUGUAAACCUCUUUUAGCAGGGAAGAAGCGAAAGUGACGGUACCUGCAGAAAAAGCGCCGGCUAACUACGUGCCAGCAGCCGCGGUAAUACGUAGGGCGCAAGCGUUAUCCGGAAUUAUUGGGCGUAAAGAGCUCGUAGGCGGUUUGUCGCGUCUGCUGUGAAAUCCCGAGGCUCAACCUCGGGCCUGCAGUGGGUACGGGCAGACUAGAGUGCGGUAGGGGAGAUUGGAAUUCCUGGUGUAGCGGUGGAAUGCGCAGAUAUCAGGAGGAACACCGAUGGCGAAGGCAGAUCUCUGGGCCGUAACUGACGCUGAGGAGCGAAAGGGUGGGGAGCAAACAGGCUUAGAUACCCUGGUAGUCCACCCCGUAAACGUUGGGAACUAGUUGUGGGG
RNAcentral lists this ribosomal RNA (642 nucleotides) under Microbacterium aurantiacum. RNAcentral describes it as "partial 16S ribosomal RNA". It matches the Rfam family "Bacterial small subunit ribosomal RNA", at positions 171 to 827 of the family's 1533-position model. The record is from RNAcentral. Lineage: Bacteria; Bacillati; Actinomycetota; Actinomycetes; Micrococcales; Microbacteriaceae.